RNAcentral lists this non-coding RNA (108 nucleotides) under unclassified sequences. RNAcentral's name for it is "drum RNA". It matches the Rfam family "drum RNA". From Rfam's summary of the family: Firmicutes, Bacteroidetes (1 example), Proteobacteria (2 examples), Spirochaetes (2 examples). Terminator (Clostridia) The record is from Rfam by way of RNAcentral.
AGCCUGUGAAAUAACAGCUUUUUCAAGGAGUUAGUUAUUGAGGCUCUUACUGGUUCUCACUUAGCCAAUUCUUGAAUAGGAGAUAGCCUCUGAAAGAAAAAAGUGAAA